GAUGAACGCUGACGGCGUGCCUAAUACAUGCAAGUCGAGCGAACAGACGAGGAGCUUGCUCCUCUGACGUUAGCGGCGGACGGGUGAGUAACACGUGGAUAACCUACCUAUAAGACUGGGAUAACUUCGGGAAACCGGAGCUAAUACCGGAUAAUAUAUUGAACCGCAUGGUUCAAUAGUGAAAGACGGUUUUGCUGUCACUUAUAGAUGGAUCCGCGCCGCAUUAGCUAGUUGGUAAGGUAACGGCUUACCAAGGCAACGAUGCGUAGCCGACCUGAGGGGGUGAUCGGCCACACUGGAACUGAGACACGGUCCAGACUCCUACGGGAGGCAGCAGUAGGGAAUCUUCCGCAAUGGGCGAAAGCCUGACGGAGCAACGCCGCGUGAGUGAUGAAGGUCUUCGGAUCGUAAAACUCUGUUAUUAGGGAAGAACAAAUGUGUAAGUAACUAUGCACGUCUUGACGGUACCUAAUCAGAAAGCCACGGCUAACUACGUG
Molecule: ribosomal RNA, 497 nt
Filed under: uncultured bacterium
Lineage: Bacteria
Description: partial 16S ribosomal RNA
Rfam family: Bacterial small subunit ribosomal RNA
Source: RNAcentral